This 632-nucleotide long non-coding RNA is filed under the name Heterocephalus glaber (naked mole-rat). RNAcentral's name for it is "lncRNA (ENSHGLG00000045315.1)". Lineage: Eukaryota; Metazoa; Chordata; Mammalia; Rodentia; Bathyergidae. The record is from RNAcentral.
AUUAUUUCAGUUGUUGUUGUCUGGUUUUGUGUUCACAGGAGACUUGAGGAAUUAGAGUGAGUCAAAAGAAACAAAUUGGUUGUUAUAAUAGCAAUAAUCUGCAUGUAGAUAUAUAUUUCUCUUUUAAAAUUAUAAUGAAAAAUCAGAAAAUCAAGGCUAUUCAUUUAAAAAAAUGUUAGACUUAAAGGUGCCUGUGUUUUCACUGGAGAGAUUUCUCAAGGGCCAGAUUUGGAGAAACAUGCUAUGGAAGGAGCAAGACAGAUGAAGAGUUGCCUACAUGUUGGAGUGGAAUUCCGUGAGGAAGUUUUGCAAGUUUCAGUCCAUCGUCAGUUGGCUUUGUUCCUUUGGACUUGUGGCAAGGUGCCAUUUCAAGGCAGGAGCACAUGGAGGACCAAAACCGCUCAUCUCAUGGCCAAGAAGUGAAUGAAAAGCAGAGACCAGAGCCCACAGUCCAUCUGGGAGGCAUUGCUGGCAGUGACCCAGAGCUUUCCUACACCCACGUCUUAUAGGUUCUACAAUUCCCCAGUAACACCAGUCUGAGGAGCAAGUCUUUAGCACAUAGACUUUGGAGGGACAUUUAAAAUUCAAAAUCCAGCAGAUGGGUGGGUAUACACUGAGUUUUUCUUUCAGCU